This 150-nucleotide unclassified non-coding RNA is filed under the name Dentiscutata sp. Its description in RNAcentral is "partial contains small subunit ribosomal RNA, internal transcribed spacer 1, and 5.8S ribosomal RNA". The stretch from base 1 to 46 matches the Rfam family "Eukaryotic small subunit ribosomal RNA", at positions 1786 to 1831 of the family's 1831-position model. Lineage: Eukaryota; Fungi; Glomeromycota; Glomeromycetes; Diversisporales; Gigasporaceae. The record is from RNAcentral.
AAGUCGUAACAAGGUUUCCGUAGGUGAACCUGCGGAAGGAUCAUUAACAAAUGCAAACAUUUUACACACCUGUGCAACGAAACACACAUUCACAUGUAGACAAAACAUUUUAAACAUAUACAACUUUCAACAAUGGAUCUCUUGGCUCUC